RNAcentral lists this ribosomal RNA (481 nucleotides) under uncultured bacterium. Its description in RNAcentral is "bacterial SSU rRNA". It matches the Rfam family "Bacterial small subunit ribosomal RNA", at positions 355 to 853 of the family's 1533-position model. The record is from RNAcentral.
UGGGGAAUCUUGGACAAUGGGGCAACCCUGAUCCAGCCAUGCCGCGUGAGUGAUGAAGGCCUUAGGGUCGUAAAGCUCUUUCGCCUGUGAAGAUAAUGACGGUAGCAGGUAAAGAAACCCCGGCUAACUCCGUGCCAGCAGCCGCGGUAAUACGGAGGGGGUUAGCGUUGUUCGGAAUUACUGGGCGUAAAGCGCACGUAGGCGGACCAGAAAGUUGGGGGUGAAAUCCCGGGGGCUCAACCCCGGAACUGCCUCCAAAACUAUUGGUCUAGAGUUCGAGAGAGGUGAGUGGAAUUCCAAGUGUAGAGGUGAAAUUCGUAGAUAUUUGGAGGAACACCAGUGGCGAAGGCGGCUCACUGGCUCGAUACUGACGCUGAGGUGCGAAAGUGUGGGGAGCAAACAGGAUUAGAUACCCUGGUAGUCCACACCGUAAAACGAUGAAUGCCAGUCGUCGGGUAGCAUGCUAUUCGGUGACACACCU